Molecule: ribosomal RNA, 300 nt
Filed under: Cynopotamus magdalenae
Lineage: Eukaryota; Metazoa; Chordata; Actinopteri; Characiformes; Characidae
Description: partial small subunit ribosomal RNA
Source: RNAcentral
CGUCGCAAGCUUACCCUGUGAAGGUCUCGUAGUAAGCAAAAUGGUUAUAUACCAGAACGUCAGGUCGAGGUGUAGCUCACGAGGUGGGAAGAAAUGGGCUACAUUUUCUAUUUCAGAAUAUCACGAAUAGCACUAUGAAACUAGUAAUUGAAGGUGGAUUUAGCAGUAAAAAAUAAACAGAGAGUCUUUUUGAACCAGGCUCUGAGAUGCGUACACACCGCCCGUCACUCUCCCUAUUUCAACUAAUACUAAGUAUAUAACCAAAAAAUUCAAAACACAGGGAGGCAAGUCGUAACAUGG